RNAcentral lists this ribosomal RNA (543 nucleotides) under uncultured bacterium. RNAcentral's name for it is "bacterial SSU rRNA". It matches the Rfam family "Bacterial small subunit ribosomal RNA", at positions 48 to 573 of the family's 1533-position model. The record is from RNAcentral.
CUUACACAUGCAGUCGAGCGAGGCGAGGGGGGCACUCCCUCAUCGAGCGGCGGACGGGUGAGUACACGUGGGUCACCUGACCCGGAAGUGGGGAAUACCUCGGGGAAACUCGAGCUAAUACCGAUGACAUCGUCGGAACGCCCGUUCUGACGAUCAAAGCGGGGUCGCAAGGCCUCGCGCUACCGGAUGGGCCCGGCCCGAUUAGCUAGUUGGCGAGGUAACGGUCACCAAGGUUCGAUCGGUAACCGGCCUGAAGGGCGAUCGGUCACACCGGAACUGAGACACGGUCCCGGACUCCUACGGGAGGCAGCAGUGGGGAAUCUUGCGCAAUGGGCGAAAGCCUGACGCAGCAACGCCGCGUGGAGGAUGAAGGCCCUUGGGUUGUAAACUCCUGUCGGUUGGGAAGAAAUCGUUCGGGGUUAAUACCCCGGACGUCUGACUGUACCAGCAAAGGAAGCCCCGCGCUAACUCUGUGCCAGCAGCCGCGGUAAUACAGAGGGGGCCAGCGUCAUCCGGAAUCUAUUGGGCCGUACAGGGCGCGUA